UAUGGUGAUUGUUUCCAGUAACUCCCAUCGAAGCUAAGCUAAUAAAUCCAUUGGCAACUGGGGAUUAAUGGGAGUAUUAAACCAACUAUCAUGUUAAUUCUCCUGGAAACAGGGAUUUGUUUAGAAGUAGUCCAACUGGCCGGUUGAGGUGGCCCAUGCCUGUAAUCCCAGCACUUUGGGAGGCUGAGGUGGGCGGAUCACAAGGUCAGGAGUUUGAGACCAGCCUGGCCAACAUGGUGAAACCCCGUCUCUACUAAAAAUACAAAAAUUAGCUGGCACGGUGGCAGGUACCUAUAAUUCCAGCUACUCGAGAGACUGAAGCAGGAGAAUUGCUUAAACCCAGAAGGCGGAGGUUGCAGUGAGCUGAGAUCAUGCCACUGUACUCCAGCCUGAGUGACAAAGCGAGACUCCGUCUUAAAAAAAAAAGUGGUCCAAUCCAGCCCCAACUCAAGAUUUUUGUUUUAUGGUUGUUGGAAAUGAUGCUUGCUUCCUCCUAUUCCUCCUAUAUGUGAACAGAACCAACUCACGAUCAUGUAUGUAUAUGUUCUUGGAGCCAUCUUGCAGUUAUUAAUAGUUAGCAUAAGGAUAAAUGGACACAUAGGGAAUGGGAGACAGAAAGGGUAGGCCUGAGAAUCAGCGACAACGCCCCUGGGAAGCAGAGGAGGAAGGAGAGUAGAGGUGGAGGUGACCGCAGGCCGAGUCGCUACCGGGAUGUCCGGGCAGCCGCCGCCACAGCCAGCGGCCUUGGCCCCAGUCUCCGGAGUCGUCCUGCCCGCGCCCCCGGCCGUCAGCGCCGGCUCCUCUCCGGCCCGCUCGCCUGGCCGCCCUGCUCCUCUACCCUCUGCCGCCCCCGCCGCCCCCUGCUUCGGCGGCCGCUUCCGCCAGCGGGUCCCCUCGGCCUAGCCGCUGGCCCCGGCCCGGGCGGAAGCACCCCGGCCCCAGCCCUGGUGGCGGGCAGCAGCGCAGCGGCCACCUUCCCGCACGGGGACUCGGCCCUCAACGAGCAGGAGAAGGAGCUGCAGCCGCGGCUGAAGCGCCUCGACCCGGCUGUGAACGAGCAGGAGACGCCGCUGCCCCGCUCCUGGAGCAGGAAGGACAAGGUCGGCUACAUCGGCCUCUCUCAGAACAACCUGCGGGUGCACUACAAAGGUCAUGGCAAAGCCCCAAAAGAUGCAGCAUCAGUUCGAGCCACGCAUCCAAUACCAGCAGCCUGUGGGAUUUAUUAUUUUGAAGUAAAAAUUGUAAGGGAAGAGAUGGUUACAUGGGAAUUGGUCUUUCUGCUCAAGGUGUGAACAUGAAUAGACUACCAGGUUGGGAUAAGCAUUCAUAUGGUUACCAUGGGGAUGAUGGACAUUCAUUUUGUUCUUCUGGAACUGGACAACCUGAUGGACCAGCUUUCACAACUGGUGAUGUCAUUGGCUGUUGUGUUAAUCUUAUCAACAAUACCCGCUUUUACAUCAAGAAUGGACAUAGUUUAGGUAUUGCUUUCACUGACCUACCGCCAAAUUUGUAUCCUACCAUGGGGCUUCGGACACCAGGAGAAGUGGUUGAUGCCAAUUUUGGUCAACAUCCUUUCGUGUUUGAUAUAGAAGACUAUAUGUGAGAGUGGAGAACCAAAAUCCAGGCACAGAUAGACCGGUUUCCUAUCGGAGACCGAGAAGGAGAAUGGCAGACCAUGAUACAAAAAAUGGUUUCAUCUUAUUUAGUCCACCAUGGGUACUGUGCCACAGCAGAGGCCUUUGCCAGAUCUACAGACCAGACCGGUCUAGAAGAAUUGGCUUCCGUUAAGAAUAGACAAAGAAUUCAGAAAUUGCUAUUAGCAGGAAGAAUGGGAGAAGCCAUUGAAACAACACAACAGUUAUACCCAAGUUUCCUUGAAAGAAAUCCUAAUCUCCUUUUCACAUUAAAAGUACGUCCGUUUAUAGAAAUGGUGAAUGGUACACAUAGUGAAGUACGAUGUUUGGGAGGCCGAAGUCCAAAGACUCAAGACAGUUAUCCUGUUAGUCCUCGACCUUUUAGUAGUCCAAGUAUGAUCCCCAGCCAUGGAAUGAAUAUCCACAAUUUAGCAUCAGGCAAAGGAAGGACUGCACAUUUUUCUGGUUUUGAAAGUUGUAGUAAUGGUGUAAUAUCAAAUAAAGCACAUCAAUCAUAUUGCCAUAGUAAUAAACACCAGUCAUCCAAUUUGAAUGUACCAGAACUGAACAGCAUAAAUAUGUCAAGAUCACAGCAAGUUAAUAACUUCACCAGUAAUGAUGUAGACAUGGAAACAGAUCACUACUCCAAUGGAGUUGGAGAAACUUCAUCCAAUGGUUUCCUAAAUGGUAGCUCUAAACAUGAUCAUGAAAUGGAAGAUUGUGACACCAAAAUGAAAGUUGAUUCGUCAGAUGAGAUGUCAGUUGUGUGGAGGAAGUCAGGCCACCAUAGAAAGAGUGACCACUUUGGAUGAGAGCUGCAAGCAAUGAGUGAACAGCUAAGGAGAGACCGUGGCAAGAACACUGCAAAUAAAAAAAUGUUGAAGGCAUAGUCAGAUCCCUGGAACAGCCCAGUUGGAAAUCAGCUUGACCCAAUUCAGAGAGAACCUAUGUGCUCAGCUCUUAACAGUGCAAUAUUAGAAACCCAGAGUCUGCCAAAGCAACCUCCCUUGCCCGAGUAAUGGGACAGGCCACACAAUGUCUAGGACUGAUGGCUCCAUCAGGAAUUGGAUCCUGUGCAUUCACCGCAAUGGAAGACUACCUACAUUAGCUAUGCAUUUCAAGAGUUCACACUUAUAUUGUGGCAUAUAGUCAACAUGGAAAUAGACCAGCUCUGCUGAUUUGAAAUUUAGAUUUUUAAAAUUAUGUACUGGGGACAGGUUUUUGUCGCUUUACAUUGCUUCCUAGUUUACAGCAUGAUGCAAAUGAUUUUCUAACUUAGUGUUAGGAGAAAUUAUUUUCCAUCUUUAACCUCUUAGUUGUCUAAGAGUUAAAUAUUACUGAAUUUCAGAUGUUCAAAUUGAUCAUCACAAAUUCUUUAAAACAAUUACCUAUAAGAAACCAAAAAUCCUGCCUUCUUUGUGGGGGAGGGGUGAAAGAGGGGAAGGAAAUGGAACAAGUUUUGUUUGUGUUAGCAUGUGGGUGAUGUAAACUUCAAAUUGGGAGAUGUUCCAACCCCUGCUCCCAUAUAAGCAUUCAAUCAGUGUAACUUGCAAAAUGCAUAAACAUCCGACAGUUUGAAUUUAUAGUGUUGAUGGAAGAAAUCAUUUUUCAUGUGUACUGUAAAACUUGAAAUACUCAGGAGCUGAGUGAAUAUGUUUGUUGCUACUUACAAUUCCAACCUGUUAGUCCCAGUAGGUUUGUUUUAACAUGGUCUUUUCCAGCUUUGUUUUCUGUUUAACUACAGAUGACUUCUGUUGUAGACUCGCAAGUUUAACUGUUGUAUUAUAACAGUAUUACAUGUCAACGGUGUGGUUAUGACCUUUAUUUAUAUAAAAAACAAAUAUUUAGUCAAUUUACUGUGUCUUAAUUUAAUCUUUGUAAAUCUUCCAUUUUUAAGUGCUUAAAUGAGUACUACAUUGCAAUAAAAUGUAGUGAUUAAUUAACCAGCCAUUAAAAAUUUACUUCUACAAAAAAAGAAAAAGAAAACGAGUCCUGAUCAAACCUUGCCUGAAGCCUCCACUCUUCCACUUUUCAUUUGUGUGAAUCUGUAAGUUGUGCUUAUUUUUCAAAGACAGUUAAUAUUUAGAUAUUCUGUUACCUGAAAUCAAAAGCACCCAGACUGAUAAACUUACUUAAACCACUAGCAAGUCAUGUAACACCUGUUUUCAAAACUGUACACCAAAUCUGGCCAUAUCUCACUGUUACCAUCACCACCAUCUAGCUCAAGGCAGCAGCAUCUUGGUCUGAACUUCUGGACUAAUGUAAAAAUCCCUACUUCACUUUCCAGCCUCUACUAUUCAAUGUAGCCACAAACAGCAGCCAGAGAGAUCAGUUAAAAAUGGAAACCAGAUCUGAUUACUUUCCUGCUAAAAACCUUUCAAAGAUUUUCAUUUGCUCUUCAAAUAAAACUCGCUCUUCUCCUUCCCCGUCCCUGCCAGUCCUACUGGAUGGACAUGGCCCCUGCGUCUCCUGUUGCUUCUCUUUGGGCUCUCUGCCCCAGCCUUAUACCUCUUCGUGGUCCUUGAACAGCCAUGCCCUUUCCCACUGCUGUUCCUCCUGCCUGAAAUAUUUCCCUUUUGCACUCACCUGACUGCUUUAUUCUUAUCCUUUAAGUCACAGCUCGAAUAUCACCUCCUCAGAGAGGUCUUUCUUGACCACCUCUCCCAGCUUCCCUAUCUGAUCCCUAGUUUGUCCUCCAAAGUGCUUACCACAAUUUGUAAUGAUCUCUUUUAUACAUUUACUUGUUUGUUGUCAGUACAACGUAAGCCCCUCAUGAGGACCUUGUCUGUCCCGUUUAAACUUUGUCCCUGAUUUAUAGGUAGGCUCAGUAAAUAUUUGUUGAAUUGUCGUUGAAUGUUGAACACCCAACAGCUGCUCUGCAACAGGAAAUGCCAUAGGGAGGGGCACCCAGAGUGCCCCCCAGUGGCACUUUAGGGCUGGCAUAGAGGUUUUCAGAGCUGAGUCCAAUGACACAACUUGAAACAUUGAUCUGAAUCAUCUGGCAGGUCAGAGACAAUGAACACCCAGUCAGAGGCUGGGAAGUGACAGAGGGGCAGCUAGGAUCAUAAUCUGUUGCUUUGGCUGAACACACUGCAACGUCAGUAACAUCGAUUUACUUGGGAGUUUGUCAGAAAUGCACCCUUGGGCCGGGCAUGGAGGUUCAUGCCUGUAAUCCCAAUGCUUUGGGAAGCCAGGGCAGGUGGAUCACGAGGUCAAGAAAUCAAGACCAUCCUCGCUAACACAGUGAAACCCUGUCUCUGCUAAAAAUAUAAAAAAUAGGCAGGCGAGGUAAAACACGCCUGUAGUCCCAGCUACUUGGGAGGCUGAGACAAGGCAAAUUGCUUGAACCUGGGAGGUGGAGGUUGCAGUGAGCCGAGAUCAUGCCACUGCACUCCAGCCUGGUGACAGAGUGAGACUCCAUCUCAAAAAAAAAAAAAAAAAAGAAGCAGAAAUGCACCAUUGAUCCCUACUCAGGCCUACUGAAGCAGAGUCUGUGUUUAACAAGAUCCCAGGUGAUUUGUGUGCACCUAAGAGUUUGAGACAUGCUCCGUACAGCAUCCUAGAUUGCACUGCCCGCAUUGAUAUCCAAAAAUCCCUGUGCCCGGAGGCAGAAACCAAGCUUUCUCAUUUACUGUAUGACCUUAAGCAGUAGUUUUAGCCUCUUAUGCUUUAAUGUCUCUGCUAAAAACCCUGGGCCUAUUAUUUUGUAGAGGAUAUCAUGAGGAUAAAAUGAAAAGACUUGGGCUGAGGCUCUCCUGCUGGCCUAUGGUCUUUGGAAUUUGGAGGAACUAGUAAGAGAAAGAUGAGAGCAAGCCAUAGAACAAGGGCAAGUGAAGAGGAGUGAACAUCUAGAGAGAAAUAUAUAUUCAUAGAAAACAGCAAACAAUGGCCUCAGAGAUAAUUCAGAGUAAAACUCAACUAAAUCACUCUUCAUGAGACAGAACUGUUCAUACCAUCUCCCAAAAGGGGUGUUUCUCACUCAUGGCUGAGCAUUAGAAUCACCUGGGAGCUUAAAAAGCCCAAGCCCACCAGUCUUCUAAACCUAUUACAUCAGAAUCUCUGUACAAGGGACCUAGACAGCUAUAACUGUAAAGCUCUCUGGUGCUUCACAAGUUUUAAGGUGCGCGCAAACCACCUCUGGGGAGUUGUUGAAAUACGGAUUUGGA
Non-coding RNA from Callithrix jacchus (white-tufted-ear marmoset), 5800 nucleotides. Lineage: Eukaryota; Metazoa; Chordata; Mammalia; Primates; Cebidae. The record is from RefSeq and is a predicted model, not a curated record.